Molecule: small nucleolar RNA, 150 nt
Organism: Diceros bicornis minor
Lineage: Eukaryota; Metazoa; Chordata; Mammalia; Perissodactyla; Rhinocerotidae
Source: RefSeq, a predicted model, not a curated record
CUUCAAUGAAGAGAAGAUGACGAGUCUGACUGAAAGUGUCAUCUUUGUCCUGGUGGCUCCUAUUCCGUGCUGCGUUCUGUGGCACAGUGUUAAGGGUCCUGGGUCAGAGUAACUUCUGAGAGAUGACAUAGAGGCAUUUGUCUGAGAAGG